Molecule: non-coding RNA, 4609 nt
Organism: Punica granatum (pomegranate)
Lineage: Eukaryota; Viridiplantae; Streptophyta; Magnoliopsida; Myrtales; Lythraceae
Source: RefSeq, a predicted model, not a curated record
CAGGCCACUUCUCAGUUCAGCUCUGCGACUCAUUUCAGAAUCGAGAGAGAGAGAGAGAGAGAGAUAGAGAGAGGGAGAGGGAGUGAAGAGAGGACGGUAAUGGCGUCGAAGGAGAACCCGGAGCAUGAUCCAACGAGCACGGGGACGGGGGACGAGACCAUUGUGGCGGCAAGGAGGAAGCGGUUGCGGCGCGUGAGCUUCGCGGACGUGGAGAUAACGUCCGUCCACAUUUUCAAGCGGGAUGAGGACUACUCCGACUCCACCCCUCCUUACGACCCCAAGCCCGACGACGGGGCGGGGAGGCUGACUGUGGGUGACGGGCUGGGGCUCUUUAGGGAUUUGGGAGACCACAGCGACGACUCCAAGGAGCUCAACCAUGAAAGGGAGGACGAGGAGCAGGACGACAGCGAGGAAGAGGCGGUCGGUAGGGGUUCCUUCUUCAGGCCGAUCGAGUCGCCGUCCCCUGGGAGCAGUACUGUCGGCUCUGCCGUUUCUAACGAUGAAGACAAUUUCUUCGGACCUGUGUCAGCGAGCUUUAUCAGACCUGGAAGGUUAUCUGAUUCUGCCGCGUCGGAUGAAAAUCACGAUGUUACUAUGGAUUCUACUGCAUUCUCGAUGCACUUCCGAAGCCUUGCAAGAUCUGAAUCUGGAGGAGAUUUGAAGACGCCAUCAAGGGCUGGUCUUGGUUUCGAGGAGAAGACCCUGACCCAGGAUGCGGCAGAAGAGACAAACCAGGGAAGUUUGAUGGUCAUGACAAAUGCCAGGAAAUUGAAUCAAGAGUCUUCCCUUCCUCUCGAUAAAUUUAGGAGUGGUGGAAAUGAUUCGAACGAAAUGAGCCUUGUCGGAGAAAACCAGCAUAGAUAUGACUAUGGGAGGCUUUCUCCCUCUUUGGAUGCCCUCUUGGCAGGAGGCAAUGAGGAUUUGCAUUGGGCUUCUGUUUCACUUCUUGCUGACCUCAACUCAUUAUCUGGUUUUGAUGAAAACCGAAGUAGCGAAAAGGAUUUGAUAGACUUUGGAGAUGAAGCAAUUGUCGGAAGUACUCAUGAUACCGAUGAGGUGAUUUCUGCAGCUGAUGUGGAGGUACAGGAAGCUAAUCCUAUUCAACAGGUUAUGAAAGAUGUCUCCAACAGAAAUGACUGGUCAGCCAGUAUGCCUGAAUAUAAGUCCAUCAGCACUCCAGAACAGCUGAUAAAGGGCCAUAGGCUAAUUGAGACCGAAGUUGAAAUGGAUGGACUAACUAAUGUCAGUAGAGGCACGCCGCAAAGUAAUGUCAGUAGAUUUCUUGAGUUAGAUGUCACUGCUCCACAGGGAUCAGCAUAUGGCAGAUCAUCUGAAGAAUACCCAAAAGAAAACUUCCCUGGGAAUAGAAUUCUGAGAGUUGAUAAGUCUGAUCGAAUGACCGAAUCUCCAUUCUCAGGGUCUAUAUCCUCGAUAUCUGCUAAACGACGUGAAAUUUUUUCAUAUGCAGCCACUUCACCAGCAAAGUUUUCAAAUUUGACGGCUUUACCAGCACAGUCAGCAUCAUCCACAAGUAAGGAAAGUGCAAAGCAUGGUUUAAGUUUGUCAUCAAUUCAGAAGAGCAUUUCCAGGUUUAGAAAUCUGGAUACUUCUCCAAGUACGUCUGCUGUUAAGAAUGGGAUUGAAACAUUGAAACUCCAGAUAUCAAAUUACUUGUCAGCAAAUUCUCCCCACAACACAGCUCGUCUUGAAAAUAGCAUAGAAGUGCCGAGCGAGGGUGCACAUGCUCCUGAUGAUGCAAAGGAAGUAGACUAUAAAAGAAUGUUCUUUGCCGGUAGCAAUGGAAUUGCGGGCCCACAUAACAUCGAGACAUUUGGUAAUUUGGAACAAAAUCGAGAGAUCACAUUAGCUAUGGAACCUGGAGAACCUCAUGUUGAUCUCUAUACAAGUAUUUCUUCCAGCAAUGACAUUGCUAAAGAUGUUCCAGUGAUGAUUUCAUCGCCCAGUAAAGUUUCUUGGUCAGGUCCAAUCUCUGAUAAGUUUCCGAAUAUAGCAUUGCGUGCUUCUGAAGUUGGUUCAUCGUUGAUGAAUGUAGCACUUGAUCACAGAAAAGAUGAUGGAGAUGCUAGUGUAUCCUCUGAGCUCUUGAUUUCUCCAAUGAAAGAAACCAAUCAGAAGCCAUCAAUGGUAAAGUUCUACCAUGGGGGCAUAAGCGCACAGUUAAAUCAGCAGCAUCAACUGAAUGAUUUAACUGGUGUUAACUCUGAAGAAAACCAAACUUCUCGAGAAAUUUUUACCUCAGCUGGAUGUUCGACUCCAAGUACUGACAAGUUGCAGUUGUUUUCUUCUGGACUGAGAACUGAAGACCAAGAGAAUUUGGAUUUAUUGCCUGUAAGCGCUCUUAAAGAUCUCCCAAGUGAAAACAAUGGAGCAGACAUUCAAGGGACCGUGCUGGCUGGAGAUGACUCUGUGGUGUCAACUUCACUGUGUCCUCAUGGACGAACAGAAGAAUCACCAUUCGAGAAGAGCCCUCCGAAGAAACCAGCGCAGAGUCCUAGGAAGAUAAAAUUGACUCAAAGUCCUUCCUUGAGAGAGCUUUUACAUUCUCUGCCUGCUGAUGUCCAGUCCCAUCCUAGGGAAGAGAUAGCAUCUUCCCCAUCAAAAUUAAAUUGCAUUGGUAUGAUAGACUGCCAGAAGGAGUCAUGUUAUUCUGAAAGACCAUUUGCUGCAGAUGAUUGUAAAGAAUCCUCCAGUAGGAAAAGGAGGAGUGAGGAAGUAGUUCCUGGCGAUGAAUGCCAUACAAGUAAGAUUUCUAGAACAACGAGGAGUUUCGAGGGUGGAAAAAGCAAUAGACAUGAUACCAAUGGCUACAUAAAACCUUCAAAUGAGAGAAAAAAGCUUGCAUCAGAUGUUCCACCAAGGGACAGGAAAGAUGUUUUGACAAAGUUCUCACAAGACACAGAAAAAAUGCUGAGUCCAUCACAUGAUCGACUAGCUUUAAGAGCAAUUGGCAUGUUUGAAGAGACACUGGAUUACCUUCAGAAAGUCAGAAACUACGAUAUCCUGAGCUCUGAUAUACAGUCUCAGGGAUUACCUGAUCAGUUUAGCAAUGCUUCGCAGAGAAGAUCAGCAGAAACAUUACUGUUGUUGCAGAAGUUAGUGUAUGAGAAGGCAAGGUUGCAGUUAUGUAUGGUGAGGCAGGAUAGAUUGCAGGAAGUGGCAAAAAAAUUGAGUGCAGGGGUCGAGGAAUCACAAAAUCUAAGACGAAUUUACAUGCCUGUUGAGAAAGGCGAUCAACCUGACCAUGAUUGUCAUCUCUGCUCAACCAACUCCAAGCUCAAGAACAAAGAUGCAUAUUAUGCCGUUACAUCAAUGAGACAAGAGUGUGAUGUGUUAGAUGAAAAAGUUAGGAGCUUAAGCAAUUCAUUACUUGCAUAUUGCAAAAUCAAAGAUGGGAGCAGCACCAAUGAUAUGGCGUCACUUGAGGACUCCCUGAGAAAAAGGAUGUAUAGCAGAUUAGUGCGCCAAAAUUUGCAGCCCUGGGAGAUCGCUGAGUUUGGGAGUAGCAGCAACCACCACAAUAUCAGCCUGGACUAUCUUGGGUUUAUUUGCCAGAGCGUCUCGGUAACUGCAUAUCCUGUUCCUAGUUUCACUGUUUCAAAUGAAUUGGAAGAUACAAUGAUCGAAAGGGCAUUUCCAAACAUGGAUGCUUCCAAAGCAUUUGCUUAUGUUUUCAGUGGUGAGGCAACUAAGGAAACGAUCAGUUCCAGAAGAUUGGCCCAUAAAACACAGACAACCCAUUUUCUUCUUCGAAAUCUUUUGGAGGUGGUUGAGGAAGUACAACAGGCUAGGCUAGAGAUAAAGAAUUUGAUAUGCACUACUUUUCAUUCUUCAAGUGGGGGGCAUCUUGAUUUGCUACUUUCUUUCCUCGAUUUCAACAGCGACCAGAAGGUGACAGUAACCCUGGACAUGACAUGUUUGAAUCGAGGGAUUUACCCUUAUGAAGUCCUUCCAGAUCAUACAAAGGUAUGCACGAACAGGAUGCCUCAAUCCCUUGGGAUGGAAAUUAGAGCUGCAGCUAGGUCUCUUCCUUUUGGACACCAGAGAAUCAUGAGACUGAGCAGGUGUGUCUCCAAAUUGGUGGAAAGUUCAACCAGUUGAACCAUGUCAAGCAACAGAAGAAGGAUCUCAACAGGUGAGUCCAUUGUGAAGGUAGGCAAUGAUUCAAUGAAGAGUCGCUGAAGCAAACUGCAAUUGACAAACUACAUAUGCUUGUCAGGAUUUUGCCUGAGAUCUGCUGCACAGCUCAUCACAACAGUUUACUGUUGCAUCUUCAACUCUCGAGGGACGCUUGGAGCAAACUGAGAGACGUCUCUAUGUAAGUUAAAUGUCUUAGUGCAGAUCGAACCUUAAUAUCGAAUGCUAUGUGCACAUCUCCUGUGUGCAAAUCCACGAGUCAUUGGAUGUAAGACGUUAUGUUGCAGAUGACUUCCCAUGUGAUAGGUCACAAAUUCGGAUUUGCCCUCACCAAAUCCACUUAUUCUCCUCCUUUGUUCUACCAGUUCUUUGCGCUGAAAAAGGAACGGGUCAAUUUAGUAAUGUUGGUAGGUGAGGCUGUGUUGAGUUGAAAUCUGCAGUCGCGCCUCUCCCA